This 35-nucleotide ribosomal RNA is filed under the name Physcia aipolia. RNAcentral describes it as "26S ribosomal RNA". Lineage: Eukaryota; Fungi; Ascomycota; Lecanoromycetes; Caliciales; Physciaceae. The record is from RNAcentral.
UUGACCUCGGAUCAGGUAGGGAUACCCGCGAACUA